UUCUCGCUUGCUGUACAGACCACGCCGGCUGGCUAGGUCGCUCUGUAAAAAUUUGCACAGGAAAUUAGCAAGAAGAACAUCUAUAGCAUAAACGAUUAUAACACAUCAUUUCCUAUGAAAUAUCAUUUUGUCUGAGAUGAUUGCUUCAGAGGAGGCAGUGGGGAACAUCAAGAACAGUUAAGGGAGAUGACAAGAAUAUUAGCAGAAGCAGAGCAAUCUUCACAAUGAGAUGAUUCAAUGCAGAGGAAUGACAGAAGUACAGCCUGAGUCAGAGUGUUUCAGACUACAUGCAUUGCCUAAUGAAGAUAAUGAAGAUGAUUACAAGAACAAUCCUUUUGAUGUAUAAAGAAGAACAUAACUCCAGACAUGAUGGAAGGGAUGUAUAAGAAAGCUCAUGCUGCUCUCUGAGAGAUUCCAGUCUAUAAGCAGAAGCCUGAGAGAAGUGAAGAUGAAGAGGUAGACUGCCCCAAAAUAUCCCUUGCCCAGAAGAAAGAUCAGGUUGCUCUAAAGAAGGCAAGCUUCCUCAGAGUUCAGGAAUGGGCUGCUGAGAGCUAAAGCAAUUUUCUAUGAAGAUAUUUUCAUAGAGAAAAUAAAUUUAUUUGA
Non-coding RNA from Cricetulus griseus (Chinese hamster), 603 nucleotides. The record is from RefSeq and is a predicted model, not a curated record. NCBI's taxonomy places the organism in Eukaryota, Metazoa, Chordata, Mammalia, Rodentia, Cricetidae.